Molecule: ribosomal RNA, 994 nt
Filed under: Nocardiopsis synnemataformans
Lineage: Bacteria; Bacillati; Actinomycetota; Actinomycetes; Streptosporangiales; Nocardiopsidaceae
Description: bacterial SSU rRNA
Rfam family: Bacterial small subunit ribosomal RNA
Source: RNAcentral
UGCAGUCGAGCGGUAAGGCCCUUCGGGGUACACGAGCGGCGAACGGGUGAGUAACACGUGAGCAACCUGCCCCUGACUCUGGGAUAAGCGGUGGAAACGCCGUCUAAUACCGGAUACGACCCGCCACCUCAUGGUGGAGGGUGGAAAGUUUUUCGGUCAGGGAUGGGCUCGCGGCCUAUCAGCUUGUUGGUGGGGUAACGGCCUACCAAGGCGAUUACGGGUAGCCGGCCUGAGAGGGCGACCGGCCACACUGGGACUGAGACACGGCCCAGACUCCUGCGGGAGGCAGCAGUGGGGAAUAUUGCGCAAUGGGCGAAAGCCUGACGCAGCGACGCCGCGUGGGGGAUGACGGCCUUCGGGUUGUAAACCUCUUUUACCACCAACGCAGGCUCGAAGUUUUCUUCGGGUUGACGGUAGGUGGGGAAUAAGGACCGGCUAACUACGUGCCAGCAGCCGCGGUAAUACGUAGGGUCCGAGCGUUGCUCCGGAAUUAUUGGGCGUAAAGAGCUCGUAGGCGGCGUGUCGCGUCUGCUGUGAAAGACCGGGGCUUAACUCCGGUUCUGCAGUGGAUACGGGCAUGCUAGAGGUAGGUAGGGGAGACUGGAAUUCCUGGUGUAGCGGUGAAAUGCGCAGAUAUCAGGAGGAACACCGGUGGCGAAGGCGGGUCUCUGGGCCUUACCUGACGCUGAGGAGCGAAAGCAUGGGGAGCGAACAGGAUUAGAUACCCUGGUAGUCCAUGCCGUAAACGUUGGGCGCUAGGUGUGGGGACUUUCCACGGUUUCCGCGCCGUAGCUAACGCAUUAAGCNNNNNCGCCCUGGGGAGUACGGCCGCAAGGCUAAAACUCAAAGGAAUUGACGGGGGCCCGCACAAGCGGCGGAGCAUGUUGCUUAAUUCGACGCAACGCGAAGAACCUUACCAAGGUUUGACAUCACCCGUGGACUCGCAGAGAUGUGAGGUCAUUUAGUUGGCGGGUGACAGGUGGUGCAUGGCUGU